UACGUAGGGGGCGAGCGUUGUCCGGAGUUACUGGGCGUAAAGCGCACGCAGGCGGUCUGCUAAGUUUGGAGUGACAGUUGGUGGCUUAACUGCCAAAGUGGUUCGAAAACUGACAGACUUGAGGGCUUCAGAGGGACACGGAAUUCCGGGUGGAGUGGUGAAAUGCGUAGAGAUCCGGAGGAACACCAAAGGCGAAGGCAGUGUCCUGGGGAGUACCUGACGCUCAGGUGCGAAAGCCAGGGGAGCGAACGGG
RNAcentral lists this ribosomal RNA (253 nucleotides) under uncultured bacterium. Its description in RNAcentral is "partial 16S ribosomal RNA". It matches the Rfam family "Bacterial small subunit ribosomal RNA", at positions 524 to 776 of the family's 1533-position model. The record is from RNAcentral.